Molecule: non-coding RNA, 46 nt
Filed under: Trichobilharzia regenti
Lineage: Eukaryota; Metazoa; Platyhelminthes; Trematoda; Strigeidida; Schistosomatidae
Source: RNAcentral
UUACUGAUGACGAGUCCCAAACUAGGACGAAACAGUUGUCCAGUAC